UACGAAGGGGGCUAGCGUUGUUCGGAAUUACUGGGCGUAAAGCGCGCGCAGGCGGUCUUCCAAGUCAGUGGUGAAAGCCUGGAGCUCAACUCCAGAACUGCCAUUGAAACUGUUAGACUUGAGUACGAGAGAGGUGAGUGGAAUUCCCAGUGUAGAGGUGAAAUUCGUAGAUAUUGGGAAGAACACCGGUGGCGAAGGCGGCUCACUGGCUCGUAACUGACGCUCAUGCACGACAGCGUGGGGAUCAAACAGG
Molecule: ribosomal RNA, 253 nt
Filed under: uncultured bacterium
Lineage: Bacteria
Description: partial 16S ribosomal RNA
Rfam family: Bacterial small subunit ribosomal RNA
Source: RNAcentral